AUUUAAGUAAUUUAAAAAAAAAUUUUGAUUUGUGGUAUCAAAAAUGUAAUGUUAUUACCUUAGAUU
This 66-nucleotide transfer RNA is filed under the name Deuteronectes picturatus. Its description in RNAcentral is "tRNA-His". The record is from RNAcentral. Lineage: Eukaryota; Metazoa; Arthropoda; Insecta; Coleoptera; Dytiscidae.